AAGAGCCCAAACCAAGAAGCUUGCUUCUUGGGGUUGUAGGACACUCUAUACGGAGUUACAAAAGAAAGUUAUAAAUGAAGCGGUCUGGAAAGGCCCGCCAAAGACGGUAACAGCCCGGUAGUUGAAAUGGCUUUCCCUCCAGAGUGGAUCCUGAGUACGGCGGAACACGUGAAAUUCCGUCGGAAUCCGGGAGGACCAUCUCCCAAGGCUAAAUACUCCCUAGUGACCGAUAGUGAACCAGUACCGUGAGGGAAAGGUGAAAAGCACCCCGGAAGGGGAGUGAAACAGUUCCUGAAACCGUGUGCCUACAAGUAGUUAGAGCCCGUUAAUGGGUGAUAGCGUGCCUUUUGUAGAAUGAACCGGCGAGUUACGAUUUGUUGCAAGGUUAAGCGGAAAAAGCGGAGCCGUAGCG
RNAcentral lists this ribosomal RNA (412 nucleotides) under Listeria monocytogenes. Its description in RNAcentral is "partial 23S ribosomal RNA". It matches the Rfam family "Bacterial large subunit ribosomal RNA", at positions 263 to 673 of the family's 2925-position model. Lineage: Bacteria; Bacillati; Bacillota; Bacilli; Caryophanales; Listeriaceae. The record is from RNAcentral.